Long non-coding RNA from Neofelis nebulosa (Clouded leopard), 2591 nucleotides. RefSeq lists it as uncharacterized. Lineage: Eukaryota; Metazoa; Chordata; Mammalia; Carnivora; Felidae. The transcript has 2 exons. The record is from RefSeq and is a predicted model, not a curated record.
UCUAGAUCAAAACAAGAGCCACUCGUGAAAACAGUUCAACGGCCCAGGAGCUGCCACUCUGUUUCCACCUGGGAUGCUCUCCCUAUCAGACCCAACCCCACGGACCGCGUGGAAUGGCUGGUGGCGCACGGCCCCCGGAGCACGUGCCUUCCCGCUCCCACGGCAACAUGCAGAUUUGGCCAGAAGAUCCUUUCUCACGAUCUCCGGGCCCUGACCAACCGGGACGGAGACUGUGCCAGCGGGCCGGCGCAGCCCUGGACAGUGGGUUAGAAUCCUGGCCCGGGAGGGUUCCAGGCCGUCACAGACCCUAAAGAUAGCAAUAAAGGGUCAGAGCCACGUCCCCGUGGACGGAGGCACAAAGAACACUGUCCCGGGCCUGUGCCCCAGGACUCCCACCCUUCGUCCUCAGAACCGGGGGCCCAGGCGUAGCCCGUCGUCAGCAGAGGGCAGGAGGAGGCCCCUCCUCCGCAGGACACAGCAAGGAGGCCGACUCAGGGAUCGAAAACAUCUCUGCCGCUCGCUACCCACAGGACCCGUGAAGAGGUCCUCGUUGUAAAGACACAAGUGCCACGGAACCGGGACGCCCGUGGCCAAGAGAACGGGAUCUGGCCGCACACAAAGCACCGGGGCUGACCCAGGCCUGGGGCACAAGUGCCGGAGUCUGAGCAGCAGAAAAGGUCCCAGCGGCCCCGCCACAAGGGGCCCCGCCCCGCGCCCCAAGGCCCGGACCCGGGGAGCCGUGCACACCGACCCCGGCCGCCACCACAGACGGGAGCACGGGCCUCCCGAGCAACGGAAACGUGUCUUUCGGCGGGCAGCCGUGCAGGCGGGCUCUGCUCCCAUCGCCGUCACGAGAGCCCAGGUGCACGAGAGCGGCCAAGAGGAGCGAGAGACGUGCGUGUCGGCUCCACGAGGGAGGACGUGAGCUGUUUGACACACAGCCUCCGAGUAAGACGGUUUGCAGAGAGGCCUCCUGGCCGCUCCCCGAGGGGCCCGACCCCGGCCCCCUUCCCCGCCCACGCCCUCUGAAACUGCAGCUCCCUGAACAAGCCCAGCUCUCCCUGCCUCGGGCAACGUCACUGGACUCAAGCCCUGCUCUCCCGACUCUACCCAGGACCAGCGGCUCCCCGGUCUCACACUGCAGUUCAGCGUCCCGUCCCCAGCCUCAUCCCUGGAGGCGACUGCUAUUUUCCUCCCGGGAUGGACACCACGGGCCACCGGCCUGCUCCCGCCGGCCUGCAGCUCCUCCAGACAAGGGGCGGGUCUGUUUCGCUCACCAGCAGGUGUCCAAGGGGAAGGAAGGAGAGAAUAUUCCUCCUCCUUGCCCCAGGCGUCAUCCUACUGGCUCAGAAUAAGGGGCGCAGGGCGCGAACAUCAGACAAACAACAAGGGAAAGAACUGCUCCCCCGUCCGCGUGGACCAUCACGCGCGGUUCUGAAACGCCCGUGGGACCGACCCCGGCCGCAACCCCACGUGUAGUUCACUGAACAUACCUGGGGUAAAAGCCCCGGCGAGUUUUCCGGAUUAGCAUCUGCCUUCCGAGGAGCCGGCAAGACGGGCGGAUCUGCCGGUCUCACCUUCCGCUCUUCCGCCGACCUGCCAUCCACGGCUAAACGAGAGAACAGGUUUUAUCCCAAACGUGCCGCACAGCCCCAAGGAGAGCCCGAGCGAGCGCGUGGAGGAGCACGUCUAGGCGGGCACUCCUCACCACGAGAGGACACCGUGAGACCUGGGGAAGGUCCUUUAAACCAACUCAAGAACGGCCAAGGGUAACCAACCCUUCCUCACAGCACUUGGCAGCUUCCGUCCUGCAGCCCAGCCCACACGGACCUCCCCUCAGCGGCUUCCCUUCCAGGAAGCGCAGAAGCUGGCCUAUGUGCAGCUGUCUCCAGCCACCUGCAGCAGCUCCUGAGCUUUCCUCCCCCACAGGGGUUCCCUACGCCCUCACCCAGACUGCCCGGGGCCGCUCGGAACACACGGUAACACGUGUGAGGAAGUUCAGGGAGCGUGUCUGGACGGGGCACGCGACCUCAGGACCCGAACGUCUCCCCCGUGAGGCACAGAGAACGGAGAGGCCGGCCCUUACACCGGACACCCAGGAAGCAGUCGGGCAACGUCACAUUAACUCGAGCCACGUUCUAGCAGGCUGGCUACAGACACUCUCCGCUCCUUUUCAUCUGCGCUUCUGGCCAAUUCGCAGACGCUCCAGGCGCUUAAAGCGCACGGCCAGACCGCUUUUGCCCAGCCACCCGCAGUCAGUGACGCACACGCAUGGGGUUGAGGCACACGCGCAGCCGGUACCUCUCCACUGGUCAGCCACGCUGAUGUAGGACAGGAGCCCGCAGAGCACGAGAAACGUGAGGAAGAAAAGGAUCACGUUGCGCUGUAAUCUCGACAGCUGCUUCCAUUUCUACGGGACGGAAAACAACACAGCUGGGACCCGUGCAACCGUUGCAAAUUCAGGGAGGACAGUGGGUAAGUCCCAAGGUCCGGUUUCUGAACCGGGGGAAGCGCCCCGGCGGCAGAGACUGACGAGCCGCGGGGAUAUUCCAGACGGUAUAGGGGAACGGAAAUAAACAACAGACGCAGAA